UUUCGGGGUUGUCGAUAAGAAUGUGAGUCACAUUGUAUGGAUACAUGUAAAAGUAUAAAAGUAUGAUGAGUGGGUUCAAUUCAAUGUUUUUAUUGGAGUUCUAGUUCAUUUACUUUGAGAAAAUUAGAGUGUUUAAAGCAGCCUCUUGGGGGCUCUGAAUACAUUAGCAUGGGAUAAUAGAAUAGGAUUUCAAUCAUAUUAUUGGUUUGAAUGGAUGAAAUAAUGAUUAAGAGGAACAGUUGGGGGUAUUUAUAUUGGAUGGGGACCGGUGAAAUGGGUGGAUCCAUUCAAGAUAAACUAAAGCGAAAGCAUUUACCAAGGAUGUUUUCAUUAAUCAAGAUCGAAAGUUAAGGGAUCGAAGACGAUUAGAUACCGUCGUAGUCUUAACUAUAAACUAUGCCGACCAGGGAUAUGAGUUGUUAUGAAUGAUGUAAAAAGUCAUUCAAUUUCCUCUUGUGGACCUUGUGAGAAAUCAUAAGUUUUUGGGUUCUGGGGGGGAGUAUGGUCGCAAGGCUGAAACUUAAAGGAAUUGACGGAGGGGC
Molecule: ribosomal RNA, 542 nt
Filed under: uncultured eukaryote
Lineage: Eukaryota
Description: bacterial SSU rRNA
Rfam family: Eukaryotic small subunit ribosomal RNA
Source: RNAcentral